RNAcentral lists this ribosomal RNA (1372 nucleotides) under uncultured bacterium. RNAcentral's name for it is "bacterial SSU rRNA". It matches the Rfam family "Bacterial small subunit ribosomal RNA", at positions 28 to 1381 of the family's 1533-position model. The record is from RNAcentral.
GAUGAACGCUGGCGGCGUGCCUAAUACAUGCAAGUCGAGCGAACGGACGAGAAGCUUGCUUCUCUGAUGUUAGCGGCGGACGGGUGAGUAACACGUGGAUAACCUACCUAUAAGACUGGGAUAACUUCGGGAAACCGGAGCUAAUACCGGAUAAUAUUUUGAACCGCAUGGUUCAAAAGUAAAAGACGGUCUUGCUGUCACUUAUAGAUGGAUCCGCGCUGCAUUAGCUAGUUGGUAAGGUAACGGCUUACCAAGGCAACGAUGCAUAGCCGACCUGAGAGGGUGAUCGGCCACACUGGAACUGAGGCACGGUCCAGACUCCUACGGGAGGCAGCAGUAGGGAAUCUUCCGCAAUGGGCGAAAGCCUGACGGAGCAACGCCGCGUGAGUGAUGAAGGUCUUCGGAUCGUAAAACUCUGUUAUUAGGGAAGAACAUAUGUGUAAGUAACUGUGCACAUCUUGACGGUACCUAAUCAGAAAGCCACGGCUAACUACGUGCCAGCAGCCGCGGUAAUACGUAGGUGGCAAGCGUUAUCCGGAAUUAUUGGGCGUAAAGCGCGCGUAGGCGGUUUUUUAAGUCUGAUGUGAAAGCCCACGGCUCAACCGUGGAGGGUCAUUGGAAACUGGAAAACUUGAGUGCAGAAGAGGAAAGUGGAAUUCCAUGUGUAGCGGUGAAAUGCGCAGAGAUAUGGAGGAACACCAGUGGCGAAGGCGACUUUCUGGUCUGUAACUGACGCUGAUGUGCGAAAGCGUGGGGAUCAAACAGGAUUAGAUACCCUGGUAGUCCACGCCGUAAACGAUGAGUGCUAAGUGUUAGGGGGUUUCCGCCCCUUAGUGCUGCAGCUAACGCAUUAAGCACUCCGCCUGGGGAGUACGACCGCAAGGUUGAAACUCAAAGGAAUUGACGGGGACCCGCACAAGCGGUGGAGCAUGUGGUUUAAUUCGAAGCAACGCGAAGAACCUUACCAAAUCUUGACAUCCUUUGACAACUCUAGAGAUAGAGCCUUCCCCUUCGGGGGACAAAGUGACAGGUGGUGCAUGGUUGUCGUCAGCUCGUGUCGUGAGAUGUUGGGUUAAGUCCCGCAACGAGCGCAACCCUUAAGCUUAGUUGCCAUCAUUAAGUUGGGCACUCUAAGUUGACUGCCGGUGACAAACCGGAGGAAGGUGGGGAUGACGUCAAAUCAUCAUGCCCCUUAUGAUUUGGGCUACACACGUGCUACAAUGGACAAUACAAAGGGCAGCGAAACCGCGAGGUCAAGCAAAUCCCAUAAAGUUGUUCUCAGUUCGGAUUGUAGUCUGCAACUCGACUACAUGAAGCUGGAAUCGCUAGUAAUCGUAGAUCAGCAUGCUACGGUGAAUACGUUCCCGGGUCU